This 640-nucleotide ribosomal RNA is filed under the name uncultured Pseudomonadota bacterium. RNAcentral describes it as "bacterial SSU rRNA". It matches the Rfam family "Bacterial small subunit ribosomal RNA", at positions 81 to 719 of the family's 1533-position model. The record is from RNAcentral. Lineage: Bacteria; Pseudomonadati; Pseudomonadota.
UACACUGGCGGCGAGCGGCGGACGGGUGAGGAAUGCAUCGGAAUCUGCCUAUACGUGGGGGAUAACGUAGGGAAACUUACGCUAAUACCGCAUACGUCCUACGGGAGAAAGCGGGGGAUCGCAAGACCUCGCGCGGAUAGAUGAGCCGAUGCCGGAUUAGCUAGUUGGCGGGGUAAAGGCCCACCAAGGCGACGAUCCGUAGCUGGUCUGAGAGGAUGAUCAGCCACACUGGAACUGAGACACGGUCCAGACUCCUACGGGAGGCAGCAGUGGGGAAUAUUGGACAAUGGGCGCAAGCCUGAUCCAGCCAUGCCGCGUGUGAAGAAGGCCUUCGGGUUGUAAAGCACUUUUGUCCGGAAAGAAAAGCAUCCAGUUAAUACCUGGGUGUUAUGACGGUACCGGAAGAAUAAGCACCGGCUAACUUCGUGCCAGCAGCCGCGGUAAUACGAAGGGUGCAAGCGUUACUCGGAAUUACUGGGCGUAAAGCGUGCGUAGGUGGUUCGUUAAGUCCGAUGUGAAAGCCCUGGGCUCAACCUGGGAAUGGCAUUGGAUACUGGCGAGCUAGAGUGCGGUAGAGGGGUGCGGAAUUCCCGGUGUAGCAGUGAAAUGCGUAGAUAUCGGGAGGAACAUCCGUGGCGAA